This is a small nucleolar RNA of Myotis lucifugus (little brown bat), 137 nucleotides long. Ensembl annotates it as small nucleolar RNA SNORA42/SNORA80 family. The record is from Ensembl. Lineage: Eukaryota; Metazoa; Chordata; Mammalia; Chiroptera; Vespertilionidae.
GCAUGGUAAUGGAUUUAUGGUGGGCCCUUCUCCGUGGGCUUCUCAUAGUGUACCCAUGCCAGAGUAAAUUGCUGCCUCGAACCAUUGCCCAGCCUCCUUGCCUGUGGGCUGUCAGCACUGAAGAGGGUUGUACAGUA